RNAcentral lists this transfer RNA (73 nucleotides) under Oryza punctata. It matches the Rfam family "tRNA". From Rfam's summary of the family: Transfer RNA (tRNA) molecules are approximately 80 nucleotides in length. Their secondary structure includes four short double-helical elements and three loops (D, anti-codon, and T loops). Lineage: Eukaryota; Viridiplantae; Streptophyta; Magnoliopsida; Poales; Poaceae. The record is from Rfam by way of RNAcentral.
GUCAGGAUAGCUUAGUUGGUACAGCAGAGGAUUGAAAAUCCCCGUGUCAACGAUUCAAAUCUGGUUCCUGGCA